This 773-nucleotide ribosomal RNA is filed under the name uncultured Neocallimastigales. RNAcentral's name for it is "partial large subunit ribosomal RNA". It matches the Rfam family "Eukaryotic large subunit ribosomal RNA", at positions 22 to 644 of the family's 3401-position model. Lineage: Eukaryota; Fungi; Neocallimastigomycota; Neocallimastigomycetes; Neocallimastigales. The record is from RNAcentral.
GUACACGCUGUGACUAGCAUAUCAAUAAGCGGAGGAAAAGAAACUAACAAGGAUUCCCCUAGUAACGGCGAGUGAAGCGGGAAGAGCUCAAAUUUGAAAUCUUAAAGGGUUUCCCUUUACGAAUUGUAGUUUAAAGAAGUGUUUUCUGUUGAGGUUUUGGUAAAAGUUCUUUGGAAUAGGACAUCAUAGAGGGUGAGAAUCCCGUAUUUGACCUUUACUUUCAACUUUGUGAUACACUUUCAAAGAGUCGGAUUGUUUGGGAAUGCAGUCCAAAAUGGGUGGUAAAUUUCAUCUAAAGCUAAAUAUUGGCGAGAGACCGAUAGCGAACAAGUACCGUGAGGGAAAGAUGAAAGGAACUUUGAAAAGAGAGUUAAACAGUACGUGAAAUUGUCAAAAGGGAAGCGUUUGACACCAGUGUUGUUUUUCUGAAAAUCAAUUAAAGAACUGUUUAUGCUAAGCUGUUUAGACUUUAUCAGCUAUCUGUUUAGUUUUGAGCUUUUCUUUAAUGCACUUUUCAGUUAACAAGUCAACAUCAAUUUCUUUUGCUGUAAAGAAGCUUGAGGAAGGUGGCUUGCGAUUUCGUUAAGUGUUUAUAGCCUCUUGCCUCUGCAGUCGGAGAGAUUGAGGUCUGCAGCGUAGAUCCUUCGGGGUUAGAUGCAUUUGUGCUAAGUUAUAGCCUUUCAUAGACAACUUGUUGACUAUGAUCAGUCAUGUAGCUUACUCGCCUAUGUUAUUUUACCUACGCUUAGGAUGUUGAAGAUAUGCGCGACACG